CAAGGAGUUUUCCGCAAUGGGCGCAAGCCUGACGGAGCAACGCCGCGUGGGGGAUGACACCUUUCGGGGCGUAAACCCCUUUUCUUGGGGACGAAGCAGUGACGGUACCCGAGGAAGAAGGCCCGGCUAACUACGUGCCAGCAGCCGCGGUAAUACGUAGGGGCCGAGCGUUGUCCGGAGUUACUGGGCGUAAAGCGCGCGCAGGCGGCUCGUCAAGCCUGACGUGAAAGCCCCCGGCUCAACCGGGGAGGGUCGUCGGGGACUGGCGGGCUUGAGGUCGGCAGGGGUUGGUGGAAUUCCCGGUGUAGUGGUGAAAUGCGUAGAGAUCGGGAGGAACACCCGUGGCGAAGGCGGCCAACUGGGCCGGACCUGACGCUGAGGCGCGAAGGCGU
RNAcentral lists this ribosomal RNA (392 nucleotides) under uncultured bacterium. Its description in RNAcentral is "bacterial SSU rRNA". It matches the Rfam family "Bacterial small subunit ribosomal RNA", at positions 355 to 762 of the family's 1533-position model. The record is from RNAcentral.